RNAcentral lists this ribosomal RNA (557 nucleotides) under uncultured bacterium. RNAcentral's name for it is "bacterial SSU rRNA". It matches the Rfam family "Bacterial small subunit ribosomal RNA", at positions 102 to 694 of the family's 1533-position model. The record is from RNAcentral.
ACGGGUGAGUAACGCGUGGGAAUCUACCCAACCCUACGGAAUAACGCAUGGAAACGUGUGCUAAUACCGUAUACGCCCUUAGGGGGAAAGAUUUAUCGGGGAUGGAUGAGCCCGCGUUGGAUUAGCUAGUUGGUGGGGUAAAGGCCUACCAAGGCGACGAUCCAUAGCUGGUCUGAGAGGAUGAUCAGCCACAUUGGGACUGAGACACGGCCCAAACUCCUACGGGAGGCAGCAGUGGGGAAUAUUGGACAAUGGGCGCAAGCCUGAUCCAGCCAUGCCGCGUGAGUGAUGAAGGCCCUAGGGUUGUAAAGCUCUUUCACCGGUGAAGAUAAUGACGGUAACCGGAGAAGAAGCCCCGGCUAACUUCGUGCCAGCAGCCGCGGUAAUACGAAGGGGGCUAGCGUUGUUCGGAAUUACUGGGCGUAAAGCGCACGUAGGCGGAUAUUUAAGUCAGGGGUGAAAUCCCGGGGCUCAACCCCGGAACUGCCUUUGAUACUGGGUAUCUAGAGUCCAGAAGAGGUGAGUGGAAUUCCGAGUGUAGAGGUGAAAUUCGUAGA